UCCUAACACAGGGAGAUCGAGCGAGAAAGUUCCCGCAAGGGGAUGAGUACAGCGGUUACCGGGUGAGUAACACGUGGGCAACCUACCCUUCAGUCAGGAAUAACUGCGCGAAAGCGGGGCUAAUACCAGAUGACGUCCUGCGGGGGCAUCUCCGGGGGACCAAAGGGGGCGAGCGUAAGCGGCUCCCGCUGAUCGAUGGGCCUGCGGCUGAUUAGCUAGUUGGUGGGGUAACCGCCUACCAAGGCGGACGAUCAGUAUUCUACCUGAGAGGGUGACCGGGCCCACUGGGACUGAUACACGGGCCCAACUUCUACGGGAAGGCAGCAAGGG
Molecule: small RNA, 330 nt
Filed under: uncultured bacterium
Lineage: Bacteria
Description: bacterial SSU rRNA
Rfam family: Bacterial small subunit ribosomal RNA
Source: RNAcentral